GCAGGUGUGGCGGAAUUGGUAUACGCGUACGCUUCAGAAGCGUAUCCUGAAAAGGAUGGAGGUUCAAGUCCUCUCACCUGCA
This 82-nucleotide transfer RNA is filed under the name Candidatus Gottesmanbacteria bacterium. RNAcentral's name for it is "tRNA-Leu". It matches the Rfam family "tRNA". From Rfam's summary of the family: Transfer RNA (tRNA) molecules are approximately 80 nucleotides in length. The record is from RNAcentral. Lineage: Bacteria; Candidatus Gottesmaniibacteriota.